This 497-nucleotide ribosomal RNA is filed under the name uncultured bacterium. RNAcentral describes it as "partial 16S ribosomal RNA". It matches the Rfam family "Bacterial small subunit ribosomal RNA", at positions 28 to 507 of the family's 1533-position model. The record is from RNAcentral.
GAUGAACGCUGGCGUCGUGCCUAAUACAUGCAAGUCGAGCGAACAGACGAGGAGCUUGCUCCUCUGACGUUAGCGGCGGACGGGUGAGUAACACGUGGAUAACCUACCUAUAAGACUGGGAUAACUUCGGGAAACCGGAGCUAAUACCGGAUAAUAUAUUGAACCGCAUGGUUCAAUAGUGAAAGACGGUUUUGCUGUCACUUAUAGAUGGAUCCGCGCCGCAUUAGCUAGUUGGUAAGGUAACGGCUUACCAAGGCAACGAUGCGUAGCCGACCUGAGAGGGUGAUCGGCCACACUGGAACUGAGACAUGGUCCAGACUCCUACGGGAGGCAGCAGUAGGGAAUCUUCCGCAAUGGGCGAAAGCCUGACGGAGCAACGCCGCGUGAGUGAUGAAGGUCUUCGGAUCGUAAAACUCUGUUAUUAGGGAAGAACAAAUGUGUAAGUAACUAUGCACGUCUUGACGGUACCUAAUCAGAAAGCCACGGCUAACUACGUG